RNAcentral lists this ribosomal RNA (235 nucleotides) under uncultured bacterium. RNAcentral's name for it is "partial 16S ribosomal RNA". It matches the Rfam family "Bacterial small subunit ribosomal RNA", at positions 118 to 354 of the family's 1533-position model. The record is from RNAcentral.
UGAGCAACCUGCCCUUGACCCUGGAAUAACAGUUGGAAACAGCUGCUAAUACCGGAUACGACCUCUUUCGACAUCUGAAGAGGUGGAAAGCUCCGGCGGUCAAGGAUGGGCUCGCGGCCUAUCAGCUUGUUGGUGAGGUAACGGCUCACCAAGGCUUCGACGGGUAGCCGGCCUGAGAGGGCGACCGGCCACACUGGGACUGAGAUACGGCCCAGACUCCUACGGGAGCAGCAGG